CCCGGGCCUUGUACACACCGCCCGUCACACCACGAAAGUCAGCAAUACCCGAAGCCGGUGGCCUAACCCGCAAGGGAGGGAGCCGUCGAAGGUAGGGUCGAUGAUUGGGGUG
This 112-nucleotide ribosomal RNA is filed under the name uncultured bacterium. RNAcentral's name for it is "partial 16S ribosomal RNA". It matches the Rfam family "Bacterial small subunit ribosomal RNA", at positions 1373 to 1482 of the family's 1533-position model. The record is from RNAcentral.